Ipomoea nil (Japanese morning glory) is the source of this 826-nucleotide long non-coding RNA. RefSeq lists it as uncharacterized. NCBI's taxonomy places the organism in Eukaryota, Viridiplantae, Streptophyta, Magnoliopsida, Solanales, Convolvulaceae. The record is from RefSeq and is a predicted model, not a curated record. The transcript is spliced from 3 exons.
UACAGGCACUUGCUACUAAACCUAGCAAACGAUGCUUCUAGCUAGGGACUUAUGAAGAGAACAAAUUUCUCAUCUGAUUUCGAUAUGGGAAAUUGUGCGAGGACUUGUUUGGCUUUCAUGGGGAUAAAAUGGAGCAGACAACUAUCAGGCAUGUACUCAUGUUUAUCCAUGGUUUUUAAUUUGCUUCACUGAAUGGAAUGGCAGAGAUGAUUGGGUUCUGCUGGCAGCAUCCAAUCACACCCUAUAAGCUUUAAUUUGCUUCAUUUUUAUUUCCAUCUCACAUUAUUUUCAUAUGGCUUUAUUGUUUAGUUUCGAAAUGUGCUCGAUUAUAUGUUGAUGCAAGCAGGGAGGAAAUGAGAUGAUGAAAGAGCUUUAGCAUUAUUUGAAAGCCUUGGUACUAUAUAUUCAUACAGAUUUUUUGUGAGUUCAUUUUGCAGAAAUUAGAAAAAUAUGCUUUGGAUAGACCUAUUCAGCAAGUUAAGUUGAAAUGGAGUUAGUUCAAGCGUUUGCCUGCUCAUCCCAGCACCUAAUUAUAUUUCUACCCAAAAGAUUGAUGAAACUAAUCCGGUCAAAUCUCGGUCGGUUCUCAAAAGGAUAUGAUGUUCUAUGCAAAGAUCAGAGUUGAAGCUUAUCUCCUUCCAAUCUUUUGAGCUAUGAGAUUUGCGUUGUAUCAUUGUGACGGGAGGAGAUGAGGAAACAACGGGCGCAUUAUUUGUAAGCAUUGCUACUAUAUAUGUCAAAUUUCGCAGUUUUGAUCAUAUAUUGCGUUUAGGGGAAUGAAAUUAGGGUUGUGAAUUGAGAUUAUGCAUUUUUAUUUUCAUGCUAA